UAGAAAACAGACAAAAAUAAUAAUGCUACACAGUCUGUAAACGGGCAAAGGAACUGUACAGUUUAGGGUCUCAGAGACAUGUGUAGUAACAGCCUGGGAAUUUGACUUGAUUACAUUCGAGAGAUCUUUCCAUUAUCACUGCCCUUUCUACAUUCAAGGUAGAAUUUUUUGAGAGAGAGAGAGAGAGCGCAAGAUCAAACUAGGCAUGAAGUGAGCCCUCCUUGUUCAUAGACAUUUUGUUCCCAACAGUGACAAGCAGGUUUGGAUUCGCUGGUCUGCUCCCACUCCCUCCAAGCGUGUUGUUCUUGAAAGAAUAUAGCAUCGAUGGUAGCUGCUGUCAAGUCUUAGAGGGCAGGGCACUCCAGACCUUCUUCAACGGGGCACACUAUUGAGAGCAGGGAUGGGCCUUGAUGGACUUUACAACCACGGCCAUAUACGCACAUCAUCCAGUGAGCAACAAUUAUCCACACCACGCCUGUACUCUGUUACCCACACCACGCCUGUACUCUGUUACUAAGCAACUCCCGGAACAGGCCAGGUAACAACCAGCUGGGCUGGAUGUAUACCAGAUUGAACUCGGACAGAAAACAUUGAGUUCCUGCACAAAUGGAUAGACUCCAAGUAAAGAUUAAUUAAUCAAUAAAUCACAUGUAUGUGUGUUUGUAUGAAUGUGUGUAUGUAUAUAUGUGUAUAUAUAUGUGUAUGUAUGUGUGUAUGUAUGUAUGUGUGUAUGUAUAUAUGUUUGAAUGUAUGUGUGUAUGUAUGUAUGUGUGUAUGUAUGUAUGUGUGUAUGUAUAUAUGUUUGUAUGAAUGUAUGUAUGUAUGUAUGUAUGCCCAUUACAAAAAGAUGCUUAGCCUCCACGCUCUUGGCACUUGAUGAUAUAAAAUUAUAUUUGUUCCCUCGUGAGUUCAGCUAUUGGAAAGCCACAGACAGCAGUUUUAGUUAAGCAAGUAUACCUCUCUGAACCUAGAAAUCCAUGUUUCUCUCCAUUGAUACUGAGACCAGGUAUAAAAAUCACCAGAUUAAAGAGGAAAGGCUCAUUCAUUAAAACACUUACUCUAGUUCAUUCUUAGCUGUUUUUAGCUAAUACUUCCAGGAUUUCCCCAAAGAUGGGGCAUGAUGGCCAGCUACUCUUUAUUGAUUAGCAGACUCAAUUUAGAAUCACCUAGGCAUUCAAGGCGCGCUUCUUUGAGGGCACUCCAUCGGGUUAACUGACGAGAAAAUAGUCAUCCUGAAUGAGUAGGGCACCAGCCCAUGGCCAGAGCUCCAGGAGAAUGAACCAGGUAAGAAUACCCAGAGAGCACUGGCAUUCUCCUUCUCCCUUCCUGCCCGACCCAUGCCUUAGCCUGCUCUGCUCUGCCUGCGUAAUAGGCUGAAGCACCUUUGCCAAAUAACCCUCCCUCCCCUAAGUCGGCUAUGACAGACAUUCUGUUUCAGCAACGAGGAAGCUAAGACAGUGGGAGUUUCCACCCCAGUUUUGGGAAUGCUGAGAAGCAGAAAUCUAGGGAGUUGGCCAAAGGUUUUGACGGCAGAAGAGGCAAAACCAAGUCUGAGUGCAGGUCUGACACUCUACGCAGCGUGCUCCCUGGGAACUCAGCUGCCUUCAGGAAAUUGGAUGCAACUAUUCUGACUCAAUGCUUCACUUGAAUCUAUUUUAUCUCAGGCUUUCUCAACCAUGUGUGAGGUGGCAUAUAUUCUUCUCCAGAGAUUCUUGGGCAUCUAGGGCCACAAAGUCUGUUUGGUUUGACAUUUCAGUAUACUCUCUUGUCGAGUCCCAAAUUUCAAGGUUUACUACCUGGUGGGCCCAUGGGCUCAUGAUCUUUCUUGCUAAAUGAGGUGAGAGAGCAAGGAUGAUGAAAAUAGGUAAUCUUAUUUCUGUCCUGAUCUGCCAUAUCAGUGAACAGCUGCUAAUGUCUGUCUGGCUUUAAUGGCAUGGGCCCUUCCUGGAACUCCACCCACAUUAACUGACUAAUGUUUGCUUGUUUUUCAAGGAAGUUUUUGAGUCAUUUUCCCUGAGUGACAGGUCUUCUCUCCCAUUGCUUUCAUACUCUCUAGACUCUAAAAAGGCUUUUUCACAUGUGUCAUGCUGACAGGACUAAUCACACAUCUAGAACAGGUUGAAAACAAGGUCCCCCCUUAAAGAGUCGCAGACUCUUCCUUCAAGAGUAGAAGGUUGGGGGGUUGGGGAUUUGGCUCAGUGGUAGAGCGCUUGCCUAGGAAGCGCAAGGUCCCGGGUUCGGUCCCCAGCCCCAGAAAAAAAAAAAAGAGUAGAAGGUUGGACAUGCAAACAUGAGGGUCUGAGUUCAUAGCCCUAAACACACAGAAAUUCACACAUGAUAUAGUAUGCACCUGUAAUCCAGGGACUCUGAUGGUGACGUGGGAGGUAGAGACAGGAGAGUCCCCAGAAACUGGAGGGCCAGCUAGCCUGGUGUGCACAUAAGGAAGCAAGAAACCUUAUCUCGGGGUUGGGGAUUUAGCUCAGUGGUAGAGCGCUUGCCUAGCAUGCGCAAGGCCCUGGGUUCAGUCCCCAGCUCCGAAAAAAAAAAAAAAAAAGAAAGAAAAGAAACCUUAUCUCAAACAAGGUCAAAGGAGAAACUGAAAUACAAUGUUGUCUUACACAUACAUGCACAUGCACACACGCAUGCACAAAGAGAGGAGAAAGGAGAGAGAGAGAUAGAUACAGAGAGAGGAGGAAGAGAGGUUUAAUAUUUAUUUUAAAAAAGCCAUAAAGCUAGACAAGGUACCAAAACAAUUCAUUAUGGGUAAGAAUCUUCUUUUCAACAGAUGUCUGAGACACAUGCCAUUGCCUUGAAAGAAUGAAACCGGAACUCCAAUUUAUUAACACAUUCAAAAGUUAGUCCAAAAUUAGUCAUUCACGCGAUAUAGGUGCUGAAAUACAAAGCUCUUAAAAGAAAGUAUAGGAGUGAAUCUUCAUGACCCCUGAUUAAAUGGUGGGUUUUGGGGGUAAGGCACCAAAAGGAAAACCAAAAAACAAACAAACAAGCAAAACAAACAAUCAAACAAAACAGCGAAAUUCAACCAUAAAAAGUAAAGAAUGUCCACGUGUGAUAGCUCAAGCCUUUUCUCCCAGAAUUCAGAAUUCAUGAGGCAGGGCAAGCAGAUCUCUGUGAGUUCAAGUCCAGCCUGGACUAUAUAGUGAGUUCCGGGUCUACACAGUGAGACCCUGUCUCAAAAACAGAAGAUGAAAAUGUCUAUAUUAUCAAGGAUACCUUAAGAAAGUGAAACCGUUGCCCGGCAAUGAUGGUGCACACCUUUGAUCCCAGCACUCAGGCAGAGACAGGCGGAUCUCUGAGUUCAAGGUCAACCUAAGGUACAGAGUCCUGUCUUCUAGGACAGCCAGGACCAUACAGAGAAACCCUGUCUGAAAAAAAAAAAAAAAAGAAAAGAUUAAAAACAUAACUUACCUAGUGAGGAAACUAUCUGUCAAGUCAUUUCUCCAAAACACAUAUUAAAAUUCAACAAUAAAUGACAACCCAAUCACAAAUGGACAAUGCGCUGAAAGAUCUCUCCACAGAAGACGUAAACACAGGAGAAGCACAUUUAAAACAGCAGAUUCCCGGCAUUAGCAGCCGCUAGGAAAACAAAGCGAAACAAGAUACUUCAUUCCAAUUUAGGAUGGAGACCAUAAAGACAAAUUGUACUUACUGACAAGAAUGUGGAGAGGCUGGGGACCUUGGACAUUGCUGGUGGGAGUGAAAAAUGGGGAGGCCACUUGGGAAAAACCUGACAGUUCCCCAAAAUGUUAAAAACAGGACUGAGGCUUUAGUGGAGUGGUAGCAUCUCAAAGUCUCAGGCUCCCUAGCAACAGGAAAGGAAACGAACAAACAAAAUUAAAGCGUUAUCGUUUUGAAUUGCAGGGGAACUAGUGGGUAAAUCAAGGAGUUAGGGAAAACAGGCGUAGUUAGAGGAAGGGGGGCUGGGACCAUCCAUAUGUGUGUGUGUGUGUAUAUAUAUAUAUAUAUAAAAGGAAAGCAUCAGAGUAAAGAAUUAUCAUUAAUAUUAAUAUUAUUAUCAUUAUUAUUAUUAUUAUUAUUAUCAUCAUCAUUUUCAAGACAGGGUUCCUCUGUGUAGCCCUGGCUGUCCUGGAACUUGCUCUGCAGACCAGGCUGGACUCAAACUCAGAACCACACCCAGUUAGUAAAGAACUUUUUAUAACAUAUUUUUGGUCAUAUUCUUUCUCCUCUCCCAACUCCAACUCCUCCCAGACCCACCCAACUUCAUGCUGUGAAGGUGGUUUUUAUUAGGGUUGUCGUGGUUUUCUUUUAAAUUAAUCCCAGUUGAUUGACUUAGUGGCUUUAGAGUUUGUGUCAGAAGAUCUGAUUGACAGGGAUUAGCAGACAAGUUCUCUCCCUACUGGUGACAACCUCUUCCACUUCAUAAUAAAUCUCUGUGCUCAGGUUUUGAAUGGACCACAUUUCUAGGUACCGUUUCAAUAUUUUUUUUUUAAGCAGAGUUCUAGAACUACUGGUUUUGCAUGCUUCCUUGUGAAUAGGUGUCUCCCAAAGUAUAUUCUUGGCUUGGUGUCAGGUAUAUAUAGUCCUAGCCUUGGGAGACACGCAACUCUAUGCCCUUUCUCUCUUUAGAAAGCAACAGCAACAACAACAAAACAAAAACAACAAAACAAAAACAAAAAAAAACAAAAGAAAAACAAUUUUAAAAAAAAAUAAAUUCGCCGGGGUUGGGGAUUUAGCUCAGUGGUAGAGCGCUUACCUAGCAAGCACAAGGCCCUGGGUUCGGUCCCCAGCUCCGAAAAAAAGAAAAGAAAAAAUAAAUAAAUAAAUAAAUAAAUAAAUAAAUAGAUUCACAAACAUACAAAAACACUAUAAAAACACAAAAUUGGAAACCAUAAUAUACAUGCAAAAUACCAGUAAGACUAAAAAAAAAAAAAAAAUGCCCAAACAAAGCAAUAUGGGGCAAAGUCUACUAAUAACCCUGCUGCUUCCCCCCUCUCAACAGCAGGACCCCAUCUAACUUGAACCUGUGCGAGCUACCACAGCCUCGCUGGUUUAUAUGUGGAGUGAUUUCUAUUUAGCAAAUUCAAUAAUCUUCAAUAUCAUCUUAUUAUGUUGUGUGACCUUUCUUUAUUCACACCCUAACUCUCAUAACCUUUUCUGCCACACACAAAACCUCUAAUUUACAUUAUAUUAUAUUAUAAUUCUUAUAUAUAAUCCAUAAUAUAUUUUCAUUUUAAAUAAUCUUUUAACACAAAAUCUUAUUUUGCCAUAUAAAAACUCAUCUCAUCUAAAAGCAUUUCCCUUUUUCAUUAGCCUUCCUUUAUCAACGACAAAUUCCACACCCACGGCUUUAGAUCACUUUCCCUCACACGACGGUGGUUCCUUCUGCCUUUUCCAAGUAUCUUUCUCAUUCUGAAAAAUACCUAUUUCUCAAUAAGACAACUGUAUUUUAAGUGACUGCUCAGAAAACUGCACGUGAAACAAAAGGAAAAAAGUGCACGUGCUUUCCAAAUGCUUAACAACUAUAAACACAGCAAAACUUUACAUUUUAAGACAUAAAGCUAAGUAAUUGUCCAUAAAGGAGAAAUUAUAGAGUGAAAUAAACACGCCAAGACUGCCUAUAAAUCUCAAGAUGUCUUUGCCUUUCAAAUGAUAUUUUCCUUGAGAAUUUCAUACAAUAUAUUUUGGUCACAUCUAUGCUCUGUAUCCCUACCUCCCAGCUCCUUCCAUCCCCCACCCCAGCCCCAGUUGUGUUGCCUAGGUGACGCCUGCCGGCCCGCCUGCCCGGUAGCCUAAUCAACCUGCUCCACUAAAGAAAGCUUGACUCUCCCUCUCCCAGCAGCUCUCACGCGUAGUGGUGGGAUUUUGUGUGUGCGCCCUUGGUCGCCCCUCCACGCUGGGAUUUUAUCUAGCUCGAGCAGGUCACACGCACGCAAUCAUAAGCCCCAUCUCCAUCUCUUACGAUCUUUCCAUCCACUCCUCUGUGAAGGUUUCCCGGGGCUUUGGGUAAAGGGGUGUGACAUGUACAUCCCAUUCAGGGCUGAGCACUCCACAGUCUCUCAUUCUCCAUACAUUUUUCCGUUGAGAAUGUCUUCACUAACUGCCAGGCAGGGAGAAAGGGCUCUGCUGAGGGUUGAAAGAUAUGACUUACAGGUAUACUGGCUACUCUUCCAGAGGUCCUGAGUUCAAUUCCCAGCAACCACGUGGUGACUCACAACCAUCUGUAAAGGGAUCUGAUGCCCUCUUCUAGUGUGUCUGAAGACAGCUACAGUGUACUUAUAUACCAUAAAUAAAUAAUUCUUUAAAACUU
Rattus norvegicus (Norway rat) is the source of this 6286-nucleotide non-coding RNA. The record is from RefSeq and is a predicted model, not a curated record. Lineage: Eukaryota; Metazoa; Chordata; Mammalia; Rodentia; Muridae.